Molecule: long non-coding RNA, 2870 nt
Filed under: Brassica napus (rape)
Lineage: Eukaryota; Viridiplantae; Streptophyta; Magnoliopsida; Brassicales; Brassicaceae
Description: long non-coding RNA (BNAP_LNC005275)
Source: RNAcentral
AGAGAUGAACUUGAAGUGAGGAAAGUAGCCACUCCCUCCUCUGAUACCAACUCAGAGCCUCCCCCUCCUCCUCCCGCUGAAGAGCCAGACCCCAUCACUAACUAUUCAGAAACCAAGAGCUUUAACUCCUGCUCUGAUUUUUCACCACCUGAGACUAGACCAAACUCAUUCAUGCCUGAAGAGGAAACUACUCCGGUUCCAGCUGUCAAAGAGACGUUGGACAUCAAGUCUUUCAGACAGAGAGCAGAGGCCCUUGAAGGUCUCUUGGAACUAUCUGCGGAUUUGCUGGAGCAGAGUAGACUCGAAGAGCUAGCCAUCGUGUUGCAGCCCUUUGGGAAGAACAAAGUUUCGCCUAGAGAAACUGCUAUUUGGUUGGCAAAGAGCUUAAAAGGUAUGAUGAUCGAUGACAUCAAUCAUAACAACUGUGGCACUUCCAGGAAUUGUUCAUGAAGGUACGACUGUAUUAUACCACCAUCUUCAACCAAAACUCUCUCUUCUGUUACCUUUUUUCUUUUUUUUUCCUGUAACGUUUAAAUUUGCACAAAGCAAUAAUUCCUUCUUUUGUUUUAAAAAAAAAGAGAAAAGAAUCCAUUAUAAACCAUAUUUUUUUCAAAGAACUCAUCAUUUUCGAAAUCUUAAAAGUACAGCCACCAAUGUUAAAAAAAAAUGGUAAACCAUUUAAUAAAAAAGUCUCGGUGGUCACGUGUGUGAAAAUCUGAUGUGGUGCGCAUACACACAAGUGGUUAAAACUGUUUUGGAUAAAAAAGAGUUAUAGUGACUAGAUUCCACUGCAAGUAGUGCCCCAAAUCCAGAAAAAAAAUUUAAUUUUUUUUUGGAAAGUUAUAAUACCACUGUGCCGACAGAAAAUCGAACUUUCGACUUUUAACAUUAGUCUGUGAGAAGGGGAACCACUCAGAUACAAGUCUUUCUCAGCAGCCACCGAUGUUAGACGUAAUCAUCUACGUUAUAUAGAGAUUAUCAGGGAUUAUUGCUUGGUUCUUUUUCUUCUUCUCCAUGUUUCUGUUUCGUUUAAUAAUAACUUUUAUUAUUUAGGACAAACUGAUGACUUUGAGUGAUUAACUGUUAUUUACUUACGUGACUGUUUUCGGGCACAUAAAUAAAUUUAUAAUUGUUAAAUUAUUUCAUAAUUGAUAUGUUUGAAAAUAGAUCUCUUUUACAGACACUGGAUUUUCACCCGCACGCCUCUGUAGAUAUUUUAUUUAAUUUUUACGUUAGGUAUUGGAUGCUAUUUCUAAGACAAAAUAUUUCACAUUAAUUUAAAAUAUUUUUAAUUUAUAAAAUAUUUUACGAUAAAAUAUUUCACAUUAAUUUAAAAUAUUUUAGAUUAUAUCAUAUUUAGUUAGUUAAGAUUUUAUAUUAUGAUUUGUAAUAAAACAUUUAUUUUUUUAAUAUGAAGUAGUUUUAUAAAAAGAAUAUUCGUGUUUCAAAUAUUCUAUUAACGAUUUUAAUUGAAAAAUUGACAUUACUUUUAUAUAUGUGAUAGUAUAUAUAUGAAAAGAAUAUCGUUGUCAUUUUUAAUUUAGGUUUUCUAAUACUUAAUUGUUUAUCUACUAUAUGAUUUGUCAAUAAUAUAGAUUGUAUACGAAAGAUUGAUUUCUUUUUUUAGUUAUUUUGAUAGCAAUAAAUUAGGGAUACCUUAAAUUUGGAAUGUCUUUGAUAUUAGGAAUAUUUUGUGCAGUUAAUUUUAAGCUUUAGGUUUAAAAUAGAUUUAGGACAUAUUUAUUAAUCCAUAAAAGACAAAGGCAUUGGAGUGUAAAUAACUCGCAAAACUAAGGGUAUUUUUAUUUUGUACUCCUCUUUUAAUAGAUUAGAUUAGUAAAUUUAAAUUUAUUAACUAAUUAUCAAUAUAACAUUUUAAAACAUAAUAAUUUUAUUUAUUACUUUGAAUAAUUAUAUUUGUUAUUUUAAUCGUUUAUUAUAUCCGAGUGUAUCAUAUAACCAAAUCCAAUAUUUAUAACUAAUUUGACUUAUUUUUAUGAAAACAUUAUACCAAUAAUUUGUGAAUAGUUUACUUUAUAUAUUUAUAUAAAUUGAUGUGUGGUUUUUACUUUUUUAUUUAUUUCUAAUAAAUAUUGAAUUUUUUUUUAAUAUGUUAAUACAAAAUAUAUUAGGAAAUCUAUUGAAAUAUCUAUUUUGGCUAAGAUUUGACUAAAGAAAUCUAUUAUUCAAAUUAGGAAAUACAUUAAAUGAUUAAAUCUAUUAAUUAAAGGGAAAUUAUUUUUUUAGAGCAAAAAAAUAAUAACUAUUAUACUUUCUAAUCUCAUAUACAUAGUUAUCAUUUUUUUGCUCUAAAAAAUAAUUUUCCCUUUGAAGAGCCAGACCCCAUCACUAACUAUUCAGAAACCAAGAGCUUUAACUCCUGCUCUGAUUUUUCACCACCUGAGACUAGACCAAACUCAUUCAUGCCUGAAGAGGAAACUACUCCGGUUCCAGCUGUCAAAGAGACGUUGGACAUCAAGUCUUUCAGACAGAGAGCAGAGGCCCUUGAAGGUCUCUUGGAACUAUCUGCGGAUUUGCUGGAGCAGAGUAGACUCGAAGAGCUAGCCAUCGUGUUGCAGCCCUUUGGGAAGAACAAAGUUUCGCCUAGAGAAACUGCUAUUUGGUUGGCAAAGAGCUUAAAAGGUAUGAUGAUCGAUGACAUCAAUCAUAACAACUGUGGCACUUCCAGGAAUUGUUCAUGAAGGUACGACUGUAUUAUACCACCAUCUUCAACCAAAACUCUCUCUUCUGUUACCUUUUUUCUUUUUUUUUCCUGUAACGUUUAAAUUUGCACAAAGCAAUAAUUCCUUCUUUUGUUUUAAAAAAAAAGAGAAAAGAAUCCAUUAUAAACCAUAUUUUUUUCAAAGAAC